GCACCACAAGAACGCGUGGAGCAUGUGGCUUAAUUUGACUCAACGCGGGAAAUCUUACCAGGUCCGGACACACUGAGGAUUGACAGGAAGUAUCGUCUUUUGAAAUCUUUAAGCACAUGUCGUUUCUAAUGACAUCUUUUAGAUGAAUGAUUCGUGUAAAUAUGCUAGUUCUUUCAUGAUUAUGUGAUAGGUGGUGCAUGGCCGUUCUUAGUUCGUGGAGUGAUCUGUCUGCUUAAUUGCGUUUCACUAUGGCCCCAAAGUUAGCAAGUUAUCCAAUCAUGACCUUCGUCGACCCCUCACCUUUGAGUGCGCGUCCUAGCUUAGAGUACAUGGUGUAAAUGGACUUGUUUUGGGUACCCAGAAAGCAACGAACGUGACCGCAACGUCUUGUUGUCUCUCUUUUGACAGUUAUGGGUUAUCCCAGUCAUGUGUUUAUACUUUUAUGUGUAAAUACGUACGACACAGAGACUAGAUACCAAACUAGGCGUACCGCUGUAUCAUUUCUUUAAACCAGAGGAAGGUUGC
Molecule: ribosomal RNA, 525 nt
Filed under: Neogloboquadrina incompta
Lineage: Eukaryota; Foraminifera; Rotaliida; Globorotaliidae
Description: SSU rRNA
Rfam family: Eukaryotic small subunit ribosomal RNA
Source: RNAcentral